Long non-coding RNA from Coregonus clupeaformis (lake whitefish), 490 nucleotides. RefSeq lists it as uncharacterized. The transcript is spliced from 3 exons. The record is from RefSeq and is a predicted model, not a curated record. Lineage: Eukaryota; Metazoa; Chordata; Actinopteri; Salmoniformes; Salmonidae.
UCCUAAUACAACAACCACAGCUCCUACUACAACAACCACAGCUCCUAAUACAACAACCACAGCUCAUAAUAAAACAACCACAGCUCCUAAUACAACUACCACAGCUCCUAAUGCAACAACCACAGCUCCUAAUAAAACAACCACAGCUCCUACUACAACAACCACAGCUCCUAAUACAACUACCACAGCUCCUACUACAACAAUCACAGCUCUUAAUGUGAUAACCGCAGCUCAUACUACAACAACCACAACCGCUGUUCUUACAACAACAACCAUGAAUAGUGGGCCUAGAUAUAAGUUUGUACUGAGGGUGAAAUUGGCCAUGACGACAGAGCUAACCGAAUCUGACAUCUUGAAGCAGCUCCGUGAGGAACUGAUCAGACGAGGGCUGUCAGAGGACUUUACACUGCGAUUGAGAAUCAUCUCCACGACGCCAAUACAGCGGAGUCACUGACCACCUUCCGGAGACACUUGAAACCCUACCUCUUUA